AUGGCGCUUCCCCGGCGAGGAGCAGCCUGGCGCCGCCGGGCCCCGCGCCGCCUCCCGCCCCCCCCACCUCGGGAGGCGACAGCACCGAAAAUAAAGGGGGAAAAAACUACAUUUUGGGCCACGGCGGAGGGGGGGGGGGGGGGGGGGGGGGGAGCAGAGAGGCCGGGCUGGGCCCCGCGGCCCGGCCGCUCCGGGUCCCGCUGCGCCGCGCUGCCUGCGGGCGCCACCCCGCUGCGCGGCGGCCUCGCGCGGACCCCGGCGGCCUGGGCCUGGGCCUGGGCCGUGGCGGCGGCGGCGACGGCGUCCGGGCCGCGCUCACCUGCUGGGCCGCUCCGCGGCGAACUCGGCGCCGCCGGACUCCGCCAUCUUCGCUGCUGCGCUGCUGCCGCUGCCGCUGCCGCCGCCGCUGCCGCCGCCGGGCCCGGAGCUUGGGAAGGCGGCGGCCGCCACCGCCGCCGCGUUAAAGGCGCAGCAGCGAGCGGCGGCGGCCCGCGGAGGGGCCCGCGGCUCCGCUCCGCUCCCGCCGGGCCUGGCGCCGCCCCGGGGGGGGGUCCGAGGGGGGCCCUGUCGCCACCCCACGGCCGUGGGGCUGGGGUGGGGUGGGGUGGGGGGGCGCAUCGGGGUCCCAGGGGAUCUGUCACCACCCUGUGGGGCCUGUCACUGCCCCCGGGGUCCUGGGGGACCUGUCAUUGCCGUGGGUCUCGGGGGUCCCAGGGGGUCUGUCACUGUCCUGGGGGGGGCUGUCACCACCCUGGGGGGCCCAUCACGGCCCCAGGGGUCCCAGGGGACCCGUCACCACCUUGGGGGUUCAAUGGGGCCUGUCAUUGCCCCGGGGUCUUGGGGGGCCUGUCACCGCCAUGGGGGGGGGGGGCUGUCGCCACCCCACAAGCCGCCCUGGGCCGGGCCGGUGUCCUUGUGACACCAGAUCCACCCAUCCCCGUGGUGACAGCAGGACCUCAGGGUCCCUCCUGCUGUCACCGCGUCCCUGGGGCUGCCCCACAAGGAGGGCAGAGCCCCACGGUCCCCUCAUGGCGGCACCUCCGUCCGCCGAGGCCAUCACGGCCCCAGUUGCCACCAAAGGAGCCACCUGCCCCUGGAAGCACCCGCAGGUGCCACCUGKGGCUGCCCUCCAACAUGCCCAGCACCAUUUCCCAACCGGGCAGGCCUUUCCCCCCCCCUCUUCCGAAUUAUCCGGCAGCUGCUGCUGGGCCUUCGGUGUGGCCUGCGCCCCAGUGCUUAAUGUUUUCACUUUGGUUUCCAGGUGUAAUUCAUUAA
This 1275-nucleotide long non-coding RNA is filed under the name Apteryx haastii (Great spotted kiwi). RNAcentral's name for it is "lncRNA (ENSAHAG00000013181.1)". Lineage: Eukaryota; Metazoa; Chordata; Aves; Apterygiformes; Apterygidae. The record is from RNAcentral.